CUUUGUCCUGGUUUUGCACUGAUGUUAUCUCAUGUUUGGAGAGGUGUCCUCAAGCUCAUCUUUCCUUUGCUUGAAGGGAAGCUGUCCCAAUGGCCUCAGAAGCACCAAGUGAGGAUGCAGAACGUGCAGCUGAGCCUCCUGCAGCUCCCCUGCAGGGGAACAGGACAUUCCAGUGGGGAUCCAUCCUUGCUGCAGUGAAGGACCAGCUCCCAUCCCUGGACUCUGACUCCUCCACAUCUGAUUGUGAGAGUGAUGAGGAGCUUUUCAUCUUCCAGAGGGACCUGCCCAACUUAAUUCCAGACCUGUCAGAGGAACUGAUGAUGUUUGCCCUGGAAGACUCCCAGGAGCAGCAAAUCCAGGAGACAGAAAGACUUCCAUGGGAGAUCUGGAACGAAGACCUGGAAAGUUUUGACUUUCAGGAAAAAACAGAUGGUGCCCAAAUCAUUGCAAAAGAAGAUGUACAAAUGAUUAAAGAUGAGGCUGCUGAACCUGCCAGCCAGACUGAAGAAAUGCCAAGCCAAAAGAGAGCUGUUCUUGAAGAGUCUCCCUCAGAUUCCACAGAUCACCUUGAGGAGAAGGAAAUGGGCAGGACUCAGGCCAAGGAAAGAGCAAACUCCUGGCCUAUCACAGCAGUGCCUGUGCAAGAGCUGUACACUAAAGAGGAGAGAAAAAAGCUGAUAGAGACAAAGAUACUGUCCAAGAUCCUUGUGGAGCCAUCCCCAAAGCAGGAGGUCAAACGUCCCUCCCAUGGCAUCAACAACAGCCUGGGAAGAUUUGCAAAGGCAGAAACCUCCUCAGAUGAGCAUCUUGGAGAAGUGAUCCAUUUGUCAUUGCAGGCAAGUGGCAAUAAAAUGAAGCUCUGGGGGUGCUGCAGGUGGGCUGGGGCACAGUGCAGGGCCUGCAUAACCCCACUGCAGGGAGCAGCUGAGGUCCCACUCUGACACUCCACAGGGCUGGGUGUUACCAAAAGCUGUCCCAGAGCAAGUCCAAACCAUGGCAAAAGCUGCUGCAGAUACCCAACUGAUAACCAACAUAUGAAAAAUUACUGCUAGAAACAAAAGGUACAAGGAAAUUGUUAGUAGUCAAGGCCUACUACUCUGAAAGGACUUAACCUAACCACAAAGUUGCUAUUUUAAAUUUUAUUUUAUUAUUUAUUUUAAUUUUUUAUUUUUGUGAAAUAAUGCCCAAACUUAUCUUGUAACAUACUCCCCAAAUACUCUAGAGCACUGGAUUUCCCAGGGUUUCCCAAUUCAAGGACUUCUGUUUAAUACCAUUUUUACUGGUGUCCAAAGGAGAUGCACAUUCAGCCUGCUAGAACU
RNAcentral lists this long non-coding RNA (1319 nucleotides) under Junco hyemalis (dark-eyed junco). RNAcentral describes it as "lncRNA (ENSJHYG00000017668.1)". The record is from RNAcentral. Lineage: Eukaryota; Metazoa; Chordata; Aves; Passeriformes; Passerellidae.